UACGGGAGGCAGCAGUGGGGAAUAUUGGACAAUGGGCGAAAGCCUGAUCCAGCCAUGCCGCAUGAGUGAAGAAGGCCUUCGGGUUGUAAAGCUCUUUUAGUGAGAAAGAUAAUGACGGUACUCACAGAAGAAGUCCUGGCUAACUCCGUGCCAGCAGCCGCGGUAAUACGGAGAGGGCUAGCGUUAUUCGGAAUUAUUGGGCGUAAAGAGCGCGUAGGCUGAUUAGUAAGUUAAAAGUGAAAUCCCAAAGCUUAACUUUGGAAUUGCUUUUUAAAAACUGCUAGUCUAGAGAUUGAAAGAGGAUAGAGGAAUUCCUAGUGUAGAGGUGAAAUUCGUAAAUAUUAGGAGGAACACCAGUGGCGAAGGCGUCUAUCUGGUUCAAAUCUGACGCUGAGGCGCGAAAGGCGUGGGGAGCAAAACAGGGAUUAGAUACC
RNAcentral lists this ribosomal RNA (434 nucleotides) under uncultured bacterium. Its description in RNAcentral is "bacterial SSU rRNA". It matches the Rfam family "Bacterial small subunit ribosomal RNA", at positions 340 to 786 of the family's 1533-position model. The record is from RNAcentral.